RNAcentral lists this transfer RNA (72 nucleotides) under Ictidomys tridecemlineatus (thirteen-lined ground squirrel). Its description in RNAcentral is "Spermophilus tridecemlineatus (thirteen-lined ground squirrel) tRNA". It matches the Rfam family "tRNA". Rfam says of the family: Transfer RNA (tRNA) molecules are approximately 80 nucleotides in length. Their secondary structure includes four short double-helical elements and three loops (D, anti-codon, and T loops). Further hydrogen bonds mediate the characteristic L-shaped molecular structure. tRNAs have two regions of fundamental functional importance: the anti-codon, which is responsible for specific mRNA codon recognition, and the 3' end, to which the tRNAs corresponding amino acid is attached (by aminoacyl-tRNA synthetases). tRNAs cope with the degeneracy of the genetic code in two manners: having more than one tRNA (with a specific anti-codon) for a particular amino acid; and 'wobble' base-pairing, i.e. permitting non-standard base-pairing at the 3rd anti-codon position. The record is from Rfam by way of RNAcentral. Lineage: Eukaryota; Metazoa; Chordata; Mammalia; Rodentia; Sciuridae.
UGGGGUGUGGCUCAGUGGUAAAGCACUUCCCUAGUGUGCCCAAGGUUCUGGGUUCCAUCCCCAGCACCACAA